UAAACAAAAUUACAUCUAUUUCUACUAUUAAAAAUUGAUAUGACUGAUAGAAUAAUUAAACAAAUAGGUAUAUAUAUCUCAUUUUGACAUAUAAUAACCAGUUUUUAACAGUAAAAAUAGAUGGAAUUUUUA
Non-coding RNA from Gossypium raimondii (Peruvian cotton), 132 nucleotides. The record is from Rfam. NCBI's taxonomy places the organism in Eukaryota, Viridiplantae, Streptophyta, Magnoliopsida, Malvales, Malvaceae.